UACGAAGGGGGCUAGCGUUGUUCGGAAUUACUGGGCGUAAAGCGCACGUAGGCGGACUAUUAAGUCAGGGGUGAAAUCCCGGAGCUCAACUCCGGAACUGCCUUUGAUACUGGUAGCCUAGAGAUCGGAAGAGGUGAGUGGAAUUCCCAGUGUAGAGGUGAAAUUCGUAGAUAUUGGGAAGAACACCAGUGGCGAAGGCGGCUCACUGGUCCGAUACUGACGCUGAGGUGCGAAAGCGUGGGGAUCAAACAGG
RNAcentral lists this ribosomal RNA (253 nucleotides) under uncultured bacterium. RNAcentral's name for it is "partial 16S ribosomal RNA". It matches the Rfam family "Bacterial small subunit ribosomal RNA", at positions 524 to 776 of the family's 1533-position model. The record is from RNAcentral.